This 977-nucleotide long non-coding RNA is filed under the name Cyanistes caeruleus (blue tit). RNAcentral describes it as "lncRNA (ENSCCEG00000017583.1)". The record is from RNAcentral. Lineage: Eukaryota; Metazoa; Chordata; Aves; Passeriformes; Paridae.
AUUACCCAUUAUUCUUCAUUUCCUGUUGUACCUGGUAUUCCUUCAAUUAGCCACAUAUGUCAAAACUUGACUUAAUGAUAGCUAAUCUUCAAGCACUGUCUGUUAAUUUUCUCUGUCUGUUUCUGGAUCAAGACAGAGAGCAGGGAACUACCCAUUAGCUAAUAUAUCCUUCAAGCUGAAAUGCAGAAGAACAAAAUAGAAGGGAGAAGUAGACUCAAAUGUUUUCUCAGUUCUGUGGGAAAUAGCAGUCUCUUCUAACCACCUAAUGUCGUAUAGUCAUCUGCUCCAGCCUGCAUGAAUUAGAAAGAAACAAGCAUAAUUACAAAGCAGGGAAAACAUAGUCCUGCUUAUUCAACUAAAGUCAGAAAUUUUAAACUUUCAGAGUAUUUCUUUCUUUUUUAUUUUCCCAUAUCUGUUCUAUAGGAGAAAGAGUAUUCUCAUUUUGGAGGAAAAAAAGAAGAAAUAAAAAAGGGAAAGAGCAUCUGAGUUUUUGUUAUGAAAAGGAAAGGACCUCUUCCAUAUUUUCAAGACUCCUGAUGACGUUUAUUCUCUUCAACAGUAGCUCACCAAGAAUGCACUUGCCAUACGGCAGUAGGACAGGAUCAACAUGCCCUGCCCCUACCACCAAUGCAGUUUUACAUUCAUAAGUGUCCUAGUUCCUGCCAGAACAAGGUUGGUUUUUCACAGGAGCCAGGCUGAGCCCUGAUCUCUUGGGCACAGGAUUUCUGGGCUGCCGUGCGCUGUGCUGAGUGGGCAUGGCCAAGACCCAAGUGUUAUUCCAUCCUAUCUUAGGACAUUGCCAGGGAUUGGGAGGAAGGGAUUCUUUUUCCUGGCUUCUGUGAAGAAAGGUGCUCCUUUUCCAGUGGGGAAAAUGUGGCUAUGGUCAGGUCAGGCUUUGAGAUGAACAUUUUUGUAUAUGAAUCAUUCUCUCUUUUUGUAUGCUUUUGCUAUUAAUAUAGUUGCUGUUAGUGUUUUCU